GGAAGUAAAAAGUCGUAACAAGGUUUCCGUAGGUGAACCUGCGGAAGGAUCAUUACCGAGUGAGGGCCCUCUGGGUCCAACCUCCCACCCGUGUUUAUUUUACCUUGUUGCUUCGGCGGGCCCGCCUUAACUGGCCGCCGGGGGGCUCACGCCCCCGGGCCCGCGCCCGCCGAAGACACCCUCGAACUCUGUCUGAAGAUUGUAGUCUGAGUGAAAAUAUAAAUUAUUUAAAACUUUCAACAACGGAUCUCUUGGUUCCGGCAUCGAUGAAGAACGCAGCGAAAUGCGAUACGUAAUGUGAAUUGCAAAUUCAGUGAAUCAUCGAGUCUUUGAACGCACAUUGCGCCCCCUGGUAUUCCGGGGGGCAUGCCUGUCCGAGCGUCAUUGCUGCCCUCAAGCACGGCUUGUGUGUUGGGCCCCGUCCUCCGAUCCCGGGGGACGGGCCCGAAAGGCAGCGGCGGCACCGCGUCCGGUCCUCGAGCGUAUGGGGCUUUGUCACCCGCUCUGUAGGCCCGGCCGGCGCUUGCCGAUCAACCCAAAUUUUUAUCCAGGUUGACCUCGGAUCAGGUAGGGAUACCCGCUGAACUUAAGCAUAUA
Molecule: ribosomal RNA, 597 nt
Filed under: Penicillium lanosum
Lineage: Eukaryota; Fungi; Ascomycota; Eurotiomycetes; Eurotiales; Aspergillaceae
Description: eukaryotic LSU rRNA
Rfam family: 5.8S ribosomal RNA (bases 232-384)
Source: RNAcentral